UACGGAGGGAGCUAGCGUUAUUCGGAAUUACUGGGCGUAAAGCGCACGUAGGCGGCUUUGUAAGUUAGAGGUGAAAGCCCAGAGCUCAACUCUGGAAUUGCCUUUAAGACUGCAUCGCUUGAAUCCAGGAGAGGUGAGUGGAAUUCCGAGUGUAGAGGUGAAAUUCGUAGAUAUUCGGAAGAACACCAGUGGCGAAGGCGGCUCACUGGACUGGUAUUGACGCUGAGGUGCGAAAGCGUGGGGAGCAAACAGG
RNAcentral lists this ribosomal RNA (253 nucleotides) under uncultured bacterium. RNAcentral's name for it is "partial 16S ribosomal RNA". It matches the Rfam family "Bacterial small subunit ribosomal RNA", at positions 524 to 776 of the family's 1533-position model. The record is from RNAcentral.